AGUUGGGGGCAAACUCCAGCUCCCGUAGGAGUCCGGACGAAGUCUUCUUGCGGUUGAAGUCGGGGGCGAAGUUCGGCUCUCAUAGGAGUCCGGACGGAGUCUACCUGCGAUCAGAGUCGGGGGUGAAGUCCGGCUCCUGUAGGAGUCCGGACGAAGUCUUCUUGCGGUUGAAGUCGGGGGUGAAGUCCGGCUCCCGUAGGAGUCCGGAUGAAGUCUUGAAGGUGGUCGAUCACCGUGGAAACUAGGGUGGAGUCCGUCCGUCGUGAAGGAUCCGAUCGACGUUGGUGGGGGUUUAUCCAUCGGCAGAACUUGGAAAUGUUGUGG
Molecule: long non-coding RNA, 324 nt
Filed under: Elaeis guineensis (African oil palm)
Lineage: Eukaryota; Viridiplantae; Streptophyta; Magnoliopsida; Arecales; Arecaceae
Description: long non-coding RNA (EGUI_LNC067366)
Source: RNAcentral